ACCGUAGAAGCGCCACGCCAGUCACUAGAGUCCUUUUCUCAAUGACUUGCCGGAAUCCAAGUAAACGCCACCCGGUGAUCUACUGCUUUUUGUACGACAGCGCGUCAUACGCCGCUAUCGUCCUGCUUAUUUUUUGUUAGAUUUGGGAGUACAUCCUGGACCGCGGACCAUUAGCCACAAAACCUUUUGUUCGGAUAUUUGGCAUUAUUUAUGUUUAUUCUUGUUUUACUCGUAGCCGCCGACGUAGCGCCGACAUAGCGCUUUUUGGUUAGAGAUGGAGCGUUUAUGGGCGUUAUGGCUGGAGCGUUUUUGGAGCGUUUAUGGGCGUUAUAGCUGUUGUGGUAUGGUAGUACACGGCUACGUUUACAGAAAUGAGAAAUCUGUUGGAUGUAUUGAAGAACUUCCGAUUUUUCCCCUCCCAACAUUUGUUAUUUUCAAUUGUUGUGAUUGUGAUGGCAUUUUCUACUAUUUGACUUGCUCCCUGCCGCGAAAUCCGUCUGGAUAGUCAAAAUGGUCGCACACUGCAGCUGCGGAUUCGAUUUUGCUGUGAUUAUAAACUCUUGGCUGACAGGGAUGUAGCGACAUUUAAAUCUCUUUCUACAGGUACUGUGGCAAACCGAAAACUAAAUACAUUUUUGUGUUUCUUUUUGUUGUGUUUGUUCUUUUCUUGUUAAAAGUAACUGCGAACUACAGAAUUUAAGGAACUGUGAGCUACAUUCCCUACUAGUAGCGCAUAUGCUGAGCUGUACUGAAAUAUGUAUUGCUUUGAAUUUUAAUUUAUUUUAUGAUGUCUUUGUUUGGAAUUUAAGAAUGUUAGGUUGACGAAUUUGCUGACGAAUACAAGAAUGACCCAAAAUAUUAAUGGCAUUCUUCAUCGAAUAUUGGCAGGUUGGGUUAGAAUAUGUUUUUGCAAGUCGAUUUAUCUGCUAGCAGCUAAAGAAGCAGUUUGUUUGGGUUCCUGAUGUACUAGUAACAUUCAGGACAUUAUGUAUGUAUGCAAGCAUUUUUCCUGCCAGUUAGGAGUGACACCCCGUUCACAAACUGCGUAUUUUGGAUGAAUUGAUCAUUUCGGAGCGUCGAGAAGAAGAUAAAUGGAUAGUGUUGGAUGCCAUAUUGUCGAUUGACGGACAUCUGUGAUAUUAAUUUGAUCCCGGAAAAGAUAGCGUGCCAUAUCAGUCGUAUUUCCGGUCAGCCACUGUGUUUUCGGUUCUCUAGCACAGCCGCUCUGGAGUCUUUCAUUUCCUUGUUGGAUGGAUACUUCAGAUUUACGCAUAAAUUUUAUUAUGAUGUGUGCCGAGCCCUUUGUAAUCCUAGUUUACAGGUUUUUGUGUAAGGGAGCACAGCAAGUGCGGCGAGGUUGUUUAAAGAUCUCCGACAGGGAGAGCGUGGGCAUUGCAGUGAAUCUAUAUAGAAUCAGCACUAAAAUGGCUGGCAGUGCAGACAUAAAUGCACCUGCCCAACUCGGCCAUGCCGAUCCGCUUCUAUGGAAUUCUGUCGAACCGCUGAGUUUCGUAAGCGUAUGUUUCCCGCUGGACAAUGUCCUGCAGUUUCUGCAGCAGAAAAGUGCCCUGAUAUCGUUACGGAAUAUGUUAGAUAUUACUAAACAGAUUGCUAAAACACUAUGGUGGUUGGAUGAACAGAAAGCAGGGUCCGGGCCUAUUCCGGCGAAGAAUGUUUUCGUUGCGGAUUAUCUAAGCGAAUCCGUGAAAGUUGUCGUUGGACCAAUCGGGUUGGGCAGUGAAUCAGUACACUGGGUUGGCUUGGAUUCGAAGGGCGAUGCAGAUGAUGCGUGGGAGACCUUGUCUCACUCAGAUCGGAGAAAUUUAGGCUACGAGACAUUGUUGUGGGAAUUGCUGACCUUUGGGCUGGUACCGUUAUUGGAAAUAUGUGGCGAAGUAGCCGAAUCGUUGUGCAGGAAUGGAUAUCGGCUGGAAAAGCCCUCAGUCUGCCCAGAAUAUGUGUACUGAAUAAUGGAACGCUGCUGGCACAAUGAUCCCUUGCAGCGACCGGCUGUUGUUGUGAAAUAAAUAAAGUAAGUACUCCAUCUUUUAUAUGACGAAAGCAAGCCGCUUAACUCCGAUGGGACAAUUGAAAUCGAAAUAAAAUAAGCUAGAGUUCCUGCUUCGGGUCACCGGAAAUGUCUGAAACACAGAAUGCAGGCAGCGGAUGUAAAUUUGAGCAAUUACAUUGGAGAAAGAGAAACAAACGGCAGGCCAUAUGAUCCUUGGCUUAUAGAAGAAACCGCGAUGAACGUCUUUGAUUGACUUGGAGAAGGUCGAUAUGGAGAAGGAAGUGAGCAGUUAAAGGCGCUGUAUAGCGUAUACUGAUCCUUUGAGCGAUGAUGAGCCACACGUAGUGGCCGUAAAACAACUGAAGCAGAUUAUAGAUGAACGAACGUUCAGUCGGAUAAUGGAUGAAAUGCGGGAUGAGAAGAACAUGAAGAAAUCGCUGCAGCAUGAAAAUAUCAUGGAAACCGUGGGAAUGGUGCUCGAUCCGGUGCGUUUGCUGGUGAUGGAAUUCGUUCAGAAUAGAGCUCUGAGCUUAUAUCCGUAAUCACCAGGGCGGUUUAUCUCCGACUCAUUUGCUACAAUUUGCAACGGAUGUUGCCAGCGGCAUGGCUUAUCUGCAGCAAAGACAUUGCAUCGGGAUCUUGCCGCGCGGAAUAUCUUGGUUACCGCGGAACAACGAGAGAAAAUUAGCGAUUUCGGGUUGGCUCGCUUUUUGGAUACCGGUGGUUAUUAUUUAACACGUUUUUGGCCGGAACAUCCCAUUGGCAUGGUAUGCCCCGGAAGUGAUAGAUCGUUAUAAAUAUUCGUCCAAAAGUGAUUCGUUGUCAUUUGGAGUUCUUUGCUGGGAAAUGUUCACGUUUUGCCGCACCGCCUUAUUUGUGUGGUUUUAUCGGACAUUUUUUUAUCUGUUAGAGCAGGACUGGUUUUGGUAGCGCUUAUUUGACAGCUGCUGUCUCAGGAAUUUGAUCUCAUUUUCUCAAUGAGUUUUCAGCAUAUUAUUGUUUUCUUUGCUGUGUUGGACAUUUGAAGAUUUUGGAAAAUUGCAGUUUUAAUUGUGAAGCUGGCGGUAUUAUUUAAUGGUUUCGAAAUACUUCGCGCUGCUGACUUCAGUGACUUGAGCCAGCUGAUGGUGAGGUUCAAUGUUUCCUAAUUGCGGGAACAAGAACUGCUGUCCAAAUAUCCAGAUUGCUUGUUAAUAUCAGUGGUCAAUAAUGUCCAUAACUCUGG
Long non-coding RNA from Paramacrobiotus metropolitanus, 3236 nucleotides. RefSeq lists it as uncharacterized. NCBI's taxonomy places the organism in Eukaryota, Metazoa, Tardigrada, Eutardigrada, Parachela, Macrobiotidae. The record is from RefSeq and is a predicted model, not a curated record. The transcript is spliced from 5 exons.